CGGGAUGUGGCUCAAGUGGUAGAGUGCUCACCUGGCAUGUGUGAGGCACUGGGUUCGAUCCUCAGCACCACAU
Molecule: non-coding RNA, 73 nt
Organism: Ictidomys tridecemlineatus (thirteen-lined ground squirrel)
Lineage: Eukaryota; Metazoa; Chordata; Mammalia; Rodentia; Sciuridae
Source: Rfam